RNAcentral lists this ribosomal RNA (440 nucleotides) under uncultured bacterium. RNAcentral's name for it is "partial 16S ribosomal RNA". It matches the Rfam family "Bacterial small subunit ribosomal RNA", at positions 338 to 795 of the family's 1533-position model. The record is from RNAcentral.
CCUACGGGAGGCAGCAGUGGGGGAUAUUGCACAAUGGGGGAAACCCUGAUGCAGCGACGCCGCGUGUGGGAAGACGGUCCUCUGGAUUGUAAACCACUGUCUCCAGGGACGAAGAUGACGGUACUUGGGGAGGAAGCUCCGGUAAACUACGUGCCAGCCGCCGCGGUAAUACGUAGGGAGCGAGCGUUGUCCGGAAUUACGGGGUGUAACGGGAGCGUAGGCGGGGAUGCAGGUUGGGGGUCAAAACUACCGGCUCAACUGGUAGUCGCAGUCGAAACUGUAGCUCUUGAGUGACGUAGAGGCAGGCGGAAUGCCUGGUGUAGCGGUGAAAUGCGUAGAUAUUAGGAGGAACACCAGUGGCGAAGGCGGCCUGCUGGGCUUUUACUGACGCUGAGGCUCGAAAGUGUGGGGAGCAAACAGGAUUAGAUACCCGGGUAGUC